This 242-nucleotide ribosomal RNA is filed under the name uncultured bacterium. RNAcentral's name for it is "partial 16S ribosomal RNA". The record is from RNAcentral.
CUGCUGCCUCCCGUAGGAGUCUGGGCCGUAUCUCAGUCCCAAUGUGGCCGGCCAACCUCUCAGUCCGGCUACUGAUCGUCGCCUUGGUAGGCCGUUACCCUACCAACUAGCUAAUCAGACGCGAGGCCAUCUCUCAGCGAUAAAUCUUUGAUAUAUCUGCCAUGCGACAAACAUAUGUUAUGCGGUAUUAGCAGUCGUUUCCAACUGUUGUCCCCCUNUGAAACGGCAGGUUCCUCACGCCG